Molecule: ribosomal RNA, 468 nt
Filed under: uncultured bacterium
Lineage: Bacteria
Description: partial 16S ribosomal RNA
Rfam family: Bacterial small subunit ribosomal RNA
Source: RNAcentral
GAUGAACGCUGGCGGCGUGCUUAACACAUGCAAGUCGAACGGUGAAGGCGGAGCUUGCUCUGCUGGAUCAGUGGCGAACGGGUGAGUAACACGUGAGCAAUCUGCCCCUGACUCUGGGAUAAGCGCUGGAAACGGCGUCUAAUACUGGAUACGAGCUGCGAAGGCAUCUUCAGCAGCUGGAAAGAAUUUCGGUCAGGGAUGAGCUCGCGGCCUAUCAGCUUGUUGGUGAGGUAAUGGCUCACCAAGGCGUCGACGGGUAGCCGGCCUGAGAGGGUGACCGGCCACACUGGGACUGAGACACGGCCCAGACUCCUACGGGAGGCAGCAGUGGUGAAUAUUGCACAAUGGGCGAAAGCCUGAUGCAGCAACGCCGCGUGAGGGACGACGGCCCUCGGGUUGUAAACCUCUUUUAGCAGGGAAGAAGCGAAAGUGACGGUACCUGCAGAAAAAGCGCCGGCUAACUACGUG